AUGCUCAGAAAAAUGAAGAAAUGGAAGCAUGAACAUGAUGAGGUUCCUCACACAAGCCCAGCCCUUCCAUCUGCUCAAGUCCAGCAACCACAGCUACAACAAACUGUGCCCAAUAACCGCUGCUUUCUUCAUUAUCCACCGGAUCUGACGCAGCCCAAGGAAAUCACAUAUAGUUCUUGUCAACUGAAACCCAAGGUUGAGAAAAGUGAUUACUUCAAUUCUGCGUCAGCAAAAUCAAUAGGCAAAUUCUUCUCUGAAGCUGGACCUGAGCCUGGUGUUCUCCAUUCAUCAUCUUUGAGGGAGAUGGUUGUGUUUCCCCAUGGGCCUGGGGCUGUAAUGCCUACGUACGAAGCUGUUCUGCAGGAGCAACUAAGAGAAACUGAGAACCGCGCAAAGGAACUCAAGCAAGAGUGGCAAACAAGUGGCUGCACUGUAAUUGUGGAUAGUUGGAAGAGCAAGUGUGACAAAAGCUUCGUAAGUGUCCUGGUGCACUGCAGCAAAGGUACGCAGUUCCUCAGAUCCAUUGACGUCUCUGAAAUCACUGAGGACUUGGAUGAGCUAGAAUCAAUGCUUUCUCGCGUGGUUGAUGAUGUUGGUGCCCAUAACAUUGUUCAGAUUGUCAUGAAUGACGUGUCACCCCAUAUGCAGAUGGCACGGCAGUAUGUGCUAAAUAAAUAUGACAGUUUUUUCUUCGUGCUAUGUGCUGACCAUUGCAUCAACCUUCUGCUUGAGAAAAUAGCAGCGCUCGAGCAUGUCAGUGAAGUCCUAAUGAAGGCAAGGGAAAUUACAAGGUUUUUAUAUGGCUAUGCACUGCCAAUGAAACUGAAAGGAAGAUAUGUUCAGGAGGAGAUUUUGAGCAGUUCUUAUCUGAGAUUUGUGGCAGUGUUCAUCACAUUAGAGAGGUUAGUUUCUGCAAGAGUAGGUCUGGUGCAGAUGAUUAGCUCACCUGAAUGGGUUCCCUCUGGUUGGGCUUGUCUUGAUUUGUUCGAGCGUAUCCAGAGUAUAGUAAAGACAGACGAUGAAUUUUGGCAUGCUGCUGCUGAAGUCGUGAAGGUUACAAAACCACUUCUCAGUGUGUUGUAUAAACUGGAAUCUGAUAUCUGUCCGAUGGGUAUCCUGUAUGAAGCCAUGGAUAGAGCAAAAGAAGAGAUAUUUCUCAAUGUUGGAGAUGAAAGUGACUUCUAUUGGUGUAUGAUUGACAGUAUAUGGGAUGGUUACUUGCAUAGUCCUCUCCAUGCUGCUGGUCAGAUGCUAAACCCAAGGAUCUUUUACACAGCUGGAUUCCAGCCUGAUGCUGAGAUCAGCAGCGGCAUUGCGACCUGUACAAUCCAACUGGGCAAGGCUCAUUACAAUGCCAGAAAAGCGUCUGCACAGUUGGAAGUGUAUGAAAAGAAGUUGGGCUAUUUCGACACAGAUCCAGCAAUGCAGCAAAUCAUGGAAUUACCACAAGUUCAGUGGUGGUCGACGCAUGGGGCUCGCGUGCCCGACCUGCAGACCCUGGCGAGGCGGGUCCUGAGCCAGACGUGCUUCGGCGCCACCAGGUACAACAUCGACUGGAGCCUGUCGGAGAAGCUGCACGCCGAGUGGGAGGAGAUGACGCCGCCCGAGCAGGAGAGGUUCCGGCACAAGGAGUACGUCCACUACAACCGCGUCCUCGCCGGCGCCGCCCCGCUCCUGCACGGCUCCUCCGUGAGGCAGCACGACAGGGUGACCAUGGUGCUGCACGACUGGAUCAGACCGCAGAAACAGGCCGCUGGUCGCCACUGA
This 1767-nucleotide ribosomal RNA is filed under the name Triticum aestivum (bread wheat). RNAcentral's name for it is "partial small subunit ribosomal RNA". Lineage: Eukaryota; Viridiplantae; Streptophyta; Magnoliopsida; Poales; Poaceae. The record is from RNAcentral.